GCAGGUAGCUGGAUGGUUGCUGUAGCUUUUUGCUAUAGAGGAAAGUCCGGGCUUUAAAGAACAAUGAUGCCGGAUAACGUCCGGCGAGAGUAAUCUUAGGGAGAGUGCCACAGAAAAUAUACCGCUAUCUUACAUAGUAAGGGUGAAAAGGUGAGGUAAGAGCUCACCGGGCUUAUAGCAAUAUAUGUCGCAUGGUAAACCCCAUCAUUAAGCAAGACUAUAUAGGCAUAUAGCGAUGAAUGAUCGCACACAAGUUCUUAAGUGUAUAUAUGCGGGUAAGUCGCAUGAUCACAGGUAGCAAUACCUAGACCAGAUGAAUAGCCAUCAAAGGUUUUUCCUUUACAGAACCCGGCUUAUAGGCUACCUGUAUAU
RNAcentral lists this RNase P RNA (372 nucleotides) under Candidatus Midichloria mitochondrii. RNAcentral describes it as "Bacterial RNase P class A". It matches the Rfam family "Bacterial RNase P class A". Rfam says of the family: Ribonuclease P (RNase P) is a ubiquitous endoribonuclease, found in archaea, bacteria and eukarya as well as chloroplasts and mitochondria. Its best characterised activity is the generation of mature 5'-ends of tRNAs by cleaving the 5'-leader elements of precursor-tRNAs. RNAcentral also lists the same sequence under 1 other name. Lineage: Bacteria; Pseudomonadati; Pseudomonadota; Alphaproteobacteria; Rickettsiales; Candidatus Midichloriaceae. The record is from RNAcentral.